GCACACAUAGUGGUAGGAAUAGGACCGAUUUAUCGGUAGAUUUUUGAUAAAUCGCUUGUCAAAGUGAUAAAUUGACCGAAACGAUAAAUAAAAUAGGGCAACAAUACACAUUACAUAACAAGGUCCAAAAAAUAAAAAUAAAAAUAAUACUUGCACACAUAGUGGUAGGAAUAGGACCGAUUUAUCGGUAGAUUUUUGAUAAAUCGCUUGUCAAAGUGAUAAAUUGACCGAAACGAUAAAUAAAAUAGGGCAACAAUACACAUUACAUAACAAGGUCCAAAAAAUAAAAAUAAAAAUAAUACUUGCACACAUAGUGGUAGGAAUAGGACCGAUUUAUCGGUAGAUUUUUGAUAAAUCGCUUGUCAA
RNAcentral lists this long non-coding RNA (366 nucleotides) under Triticum aestivum (bread wheat). RNAcentral describes it as "long non-coding RNA (TAES_LNC008146)". The record is from RNAcentral. Lineage: Eukaryota; Viridiplantae; Streptophyta; Magnoliopsida; Poales; Poaceae.